UACGGAGGGUGCGAGCGUUAUUCGGAAUUAUUGGGCGUAAAGGGCGCGUAGGCGGCUUUACAAGUCAAAGGUGAAAUCCCUCGGCUCAACUGAGGAACUGCCUUUGAAACUGUCUGGCUUGAGGCCGGGAGGGGGUAGCGGAAUUCCCAGUGUAGCGGUGAAAUGCGUAGAUAUUGGGAGGAACACCAGUGGCGAAGGCGGCUACCUGGACCGGUUCUGACGCUGAUGCGCGAAAGCGUGGGUAGCAAACAGG
Molecule: ribosomal RNA, 253 nt
Filed under: uncultured bacterium
Lineage: Bacteria
Description: partial 16S ribosomal RNA
Rfam family: Bacterial small subunit ribosomal RNA
Source: RNAcentral